ACCAUCUUUUGCUUUUUUUUUCUUUGUUUUUCUGCUAAAGAAUGGCGCAGAAUUCCGAAAACAAAGGCGAUAUUUAAUAUAUGAAACCUGGUAGAUAAGAAAGUGAAUUGUUUUCUCACGAAUAAAUUUUCGUUCUUGUUAUGAAAGAAGACGUUCAGCAGUCACACAUGGUUUAUUAUUAAUACGCAUUCCUUUGUAAAUGCAGGCGUGCAAAAUUCGUAUAGAUGUAAAUUUUCCCGAUCUCUUUUUAAUCGUGGCACACACACAGCAUUGCAGGUUUAUGCUAGACAGAUUUCGCUUUGAAGGGAUGUUACGAAUAAGAAUGAUCACAAAAAUAAUUAAUUGUACUGUUGUGCCACUCAACAAGUGGAUCUACCAGCCUGAAGUGAUAACAGGUGAAGUUCUCCGUCUCAAUUUCGCGCCCGGUUGCACCUAUCGAUCUCUAUUUACGUGUCUUAAACCCAUGCGGUCGGCAUGAGUUACAAGACAACUUAAUUUCUUUUCUACGAUUCGAAACCGUGCAUUUCGUUCCUUAAAUUCGUCAUUUCCUCUCGAGAGAGAGUCGCUAAAUUACUUUCAUUUAUUCCAGAGCACUCCGAUGAUAUACAGUAUAUGUAUACUUUCAGUUUUAAAGCAUCGAUGGUUUAUAAAUAGAAUUUUUGAACUUUUUUCAUGCAAAUAAGGCAUAAAAUCCACUUUUUGGUAUUCUUGCGCUCUUGGAAAUCGCCGGGUCUGAUCAAUAAUUCUCUUAUUGAUUCUCCGAAUCUGCUUGAUUUUUUUUUUUUUUUUUGAGUUAUCUAAAGGAAAG
RNAcentral lists this long non-coding RNA (808 nucleotides) under Androctonus crassicauda. The record is from RNAcentral. Lineage: Eukaryota; Metazoa; Arthropoda; Arachnida; Scorpiones; Buthidae.